CAAUGGAGAGUUUGAUCCUGGCUCAGGACGAACGCUGGCGGCGUGCCUAAUACAUGCAAGUCGAGCGGAGCACUUCG
Molecule: ribosomal RNA, 77 nt
Filed under: Paenibacillus silvestris
Lineage: Bacteria; Bacillati; Bacillota; Bacilli; Caryophanales; Paenibacillaceae
Description: Paenibacillus sp. 5J-6 partial 16S ribosomal RNA
Rfam family: Bacterial small subunit ribosomal RNA
Source: RNAcentral